AUAAUACUCCCUCCGUCCGGAAUUACUUGUCAUCAAAAUGGAUGUGUCUAGAACUAAAAUACAUCUAGAUAAACCAUUUCAAUGACAAGUAUUUUCGGACGGAGGGAGUAGUAU
This is a non-coding RNA of Triticum aestivum (bread wheat), 114 nucleotides long. NCBI's taxonomy places the organism in Eukaryota, Viridiplantae, Streptophyta, Magnoliopsida, Poales, Poaceae. The record is from Rfam.